AUACGGAGGGUCCGAGCGUUAUCCGGAAUCAUUGGGUUUAAAGGGUCCGUAGGCGGGAAUCGAAGUCAGUGGUGAAAUCUUGCAGCUCAACUGUAAAAUUGCCAUUGAUACUGGAUUUCUUGAAUUAGUGUGAAGUGGUUAGAAUGUGUAGUGUAGCGGUGAAAUGCAUAGAUAUUACACAGAAUACCAAUUGCGAAGGCAGAUCACUAACACUAUAUUGACGCUAAGGGACGAAAGCGUGGGGAGCGAACAGGAUUAGAAACCCGGGUAGUCC
This 274-nucleotide ribosomal RNA is filed under the name uncultured bacterium. RNAcentral's name for it is "partial 16S ribosomal RNA". It matches the Rfam family "Bacterial small subunit ribosomal RNA", at positions 523 to 796 of the family's 1533-position model. The record is from RNAcentral.